GUGGCGUGGCGUAGCGUGGCUCGACGUGACGUGACGGGCGACCGGCAAAGCGGCGAAGUAGGGAGGAGACGCCGCGGGCAGCAAGGAGCACGGGCAGUGGAAGCUGGCUCUAAGAGCUCCUCCUCUGCUGCGGCCGUCGCUACGGGCCGAAAAGGAGAACGGAAAGAAGGGAGGGAGCUACCCAGAUUCUCAGGGCUGUGUGCUAACACGGAAAGGAGGGGGCGGGAGGAGUUGGCUGCUUCCAAUAGAGCCCACUCUGGGGCUGGACAAGCACCCCGCCUUCUGAUCCUCCUCCCUCUGCUUUCCUCCUCCCACCUCUUACCCCUAGCCCGAGGCCUGACCCUGAAACCUUCCCAAGCUUGGACUCUAUCGUGGGGCUCCAGACUCCACCCCGAGUCCAAAGUUUUCCAGCAGCCGAUGAUGGCAGAUUUUUUUAAAAGGGCAUCUCAAACCGGAAGGGGUUAUAAUGUGCAAGAAGUAGCCACUAAGUUGUUUUGUGGUGAUGUGUGUUCAAAGGUUACAUCAGACUUUCUUCAGAAAGUGGGGGAAGUGAUCCAGGAAGCAGGAGUCAGAUAUUCGAAGCUCAUUGUCCAUUGGAACAAAUUCCUGGCUGAUAGAAGUAGAAGAACAAAAGAGAACUGUCACCUGUGGCCAGAAAUAUAGAUGUCACAAUUGUCACAAAUCAAAUAACAACUUGCUCACUCUGAAAGAAAUCCACAAAUUCAGUGAUGUCAGAAUCUACACAUUAGUAUGUAGGAUUACUGAAGCUCUUCCUGGAGGAGGCAGCAGCAGUCAUAGAGGAGAAAAAGGGUCUUCAGUGUUCCUUCAGAAUUUCUUGUAUAUCCACUUUACUAUUUUCUCCAUCUCUGACUCUGUGUCUCUGCUUCUUGGGGAAAUAUAUUUAAAAACUACCUUUAAUUUUCAUUACAAAAGUAUUGGCAUAUUGUCUUAUUUUUUUCUUGAAUGAAAUUGUUAUUUAUGUGAUAUGUUACCAUUUUUUGGAAUAAAUUAUUAAUUUCUAUUUAAAUUUGAAUGCUU
Molecule: long non-coding RNA, 1038 nt
Filed under: Monodelphis domestica (gray short-tailed opossum)
Lineage: Eukaryota; Metazoa; Chordata; Mammalia; Didelphimorphia; Didelphidae
Description: lncRNA (ENSMODG00000042829.1)
Source: RNAcentral